AGCUCUGUAGUGAUAAACACAUUAAAUUGCAAAUUUAAAAACGGCCCGUUUAUUGGUCCCGGGGCUU
Molecule: transfer RNA, 67 nt
Filed under: Bavayia endemia
Lineage: Eukaryota; Metazoa; Chordata; Lepidosauria; Squamata; Diplodactylidae
Description: tRNA-Cys
Source: RNAcentral